UGAGGAAUACAUCGGAAUCUACCUUUUCGUGGGGGAUAACGUAGGGAAACUUACGCUAAUACCGCAUACGACCUUCGGGUGAAAGCAGGGGACCUUCGGGCCUUGCGCGGAUAGAUGAGCCGAUGUCGGAUUAGCUAGUUGGCGGGGUAAAGGCCCACCAAGGCGACGAUCCGUAGCUGGUCUGAGAGGAUGAUCAGCCACACUGGAACUGAGACACGGUCCAGACUCCUACGGGAGGCAGCAGUGGGGAAUAUUGGACAAUGGGCGCAAGCCUGAUCCAGCCAUACCGCGUGGGUGAAGAAGGCCUUCGGGUUGUAAAGCCCUUUUGUUGGGAAAGAAAAGCAGUCGAUUAAUACUCGGUUGUUCUGACGGUACCCAAAGAAUAAGCACCGGCUAACUUCGUGCCAGCAGCCGC
This 415-nucleotide ribosomal RNA is filed under the name uncultured Stenotrophomonas sp. RNAcentral's name for it is "bacterial SSU rRNA". It matches the Rfam family "Bacterial small subunit ribosomal RNA", at positions 107 to 518 of the family's 1533-position model. Lineage: Bacteria; Pseudomonadati; Pseudomonadota; Gammaproteobacteria; Lysobacterales; Lysobacteraceae. The record is from RNAcentral.